UACGUAGGCAGCAAGCGUUGUUCGGAGUUACUGGGCGUAAAGGGUGUGUAGGCGGUUCUUUAAGUUUGGGGUGAAAUCUCCCGGCUCAACUGGGAGGGUGCGCCGAAUACUGAGGGACUAGAGUACGGGAGAGGAAAGUGGAAUUCCUGGUGUAGCGGUGAAAUGCGUAGAUAUCAGGAGGAACACCGGUGGUGUAGACGGCUUUCUGGACCGUAACUGACGCUGAGACACGAAAGCGUGGGUAGCAAACAGG
Molecule: ribosomal RNA, 253 nt
Filed under: uncultured bacterium
Lineage: Bacteria
Description: partial 16S ribosomal RNA
Rfam family: Bacterial small subunit ribosomal RNA
Source: RNAcentral